Molecule: ribosomal RNA, 462 nt
Filed under: uncultured bacterium
Lineage: Bacteria
Description: partial 16S ribosomal RNA
Rfam family: Bacterial small subunit ribosomal RNA
Source: RNAcentral
AGUGAACGCUGGCGGCGUGCCUAAUACAUGCAAGUCGAACGGAGAUUAAGUAGCUUGCUAUUUAAUCUUAGUGGCGCACGGGAGAGUAAUAUAUAGCUAACUUGCCCAUUACUAAGGGACAACAGUUGGAAACGACUGCUAAUACCUUAUACUCCGUAUCUAUAUAAGUAGAUACGGGAAAGUUUUUCGGUAAUGGAUAGGGCUAUAUCGUAUCAGCUAGUUGGUAAGGUAAUGGCUUACCAAGGCUAUGACGCGUAACUGGUCUGAGAGGAUGAUCAGUCACACUGGAACUGAGACACGGUCCAGACUCCUACGGGAGGCAGCAGUAGGGAAUAUUGCUCAAUGGGGGAAACCCUGAGGCAGCAACGCCGCGUGGAGGAUGACACUUUUCGGAGCGUAAACUCCUUUUCUUGGGAAAGAAUUAUGACGGUACCCAAGGAAUAAGCACCGGCUAACUCCGUG